This 600-nucleotide ribosomal RNA is filed under the name uncultured bacterium. RNAcentral describes it as "bacterial SSU rRNA". It matches the Rfam family "Bacterial small subunit ribosomal RNA", at positions 90 to 691 of the family's 1533-position model. The record is from RNAcentral.
CUAGAGCGGCGCACGGGUGAGUAACGCGUACAUACUGCCUAUACUGGGGAUAGUCUUGGGAAACUGAGAAUAAUCCCGCAUGUGAUUAGAAUGCUGCAUGGCAAAUUAAUUAAAGCUGAGGCGGUAUAGAUGGGUGUGCGUCUGAUUACUAUUGGUAUGUAACGGACUACCAAGGCGGUGAUCAUAGGGGCGUGAAGCGUGACCCCCCACACGGGUACUGAGACACGGACCCGACUCCUACGGGAGGCAGCAGUAAGGAAUAUUGGUCAAUGGAGGGAACUCUAAGCCAGCCAUCCCGCGUGAAGGAUGAAGGGGCUCUGCCUUGUAAACUUCUUUUGCAUGGGACGAAAAAACUUAAUUUAUUAAGGACUGACGGUACCAUGAGAAUAAGCACCGGCUAACUCCGUGCCAGCAGCCGCGGUAAUACGGAGGGUGCGAGCGUUAUCCGGAAUCACUGGGUUUAAAGGGUGCGUAGGCGGUUUGAUAAGUCCAGUGGCGAAAGGCCGGUCCGCUUAACCGAUGGGGGACUUGGCCAUUGGAUUACUUGGUUAGACUUUGAAAUUCCAGGAUUGAGGGUUGGGGGGAAAUUGUGGGCAUUUG